This 344-nucleotide ribosomal RNA is filed under the name Sensitibilla strinatii. RNAcentral describes it as "partial 12s rRNA". Lineage: Eukaryota; Metazoa; Arthropoda; Insecta; Psocodea; Prionoglarididae. The record is from RNAcentral.
UUGGGUAGUAUAAGUUUUUCUAAAAACCUAAAGAAUUUGGCGGUAUUUUAUUCUGUUCAGGGGAACAUGUUUUUUAAACGAUAAUCCACGAUUAUUUUACUUAUUUUUGAUAAGUUACAUUUUGUAUAUCUCCGUCAUCAGAUUAUUUUAAUAAAAAUAUUUCUUGAUAUAAUAAUAUUUUAUUUAAUUAAUAUGUCAGGUCAAGAUGCAGAUUAUAAAUAAGUUAAAAUGUGUUACAAUAAAAUUGUAUUUAUGGAUUUUUAAAUGUAAUUUUAAAAUUAAAUUGGAUUUGAUAGUAAAUUAAUUAAAUAUUAUUUGGUUUUGAAGAGGUUUUAAAAUAAGCA